CCUACGGGGUGCAGCAGUGAGGAAUAUUGGUCAAUGGACGCAAGUCUGAACCAGCCAUGCCGCGUGCAGGAAGACGGCUCUAUGAGUUGUAAACUGCUUUUGUACGAGGGUAAACGCAGAUACGUGUAUCUGUCUGAAAGUAUCGUACGAAUAAGGAUCGGCUAACUCCGUGCCAGCAGCCGCGGUAAUACGGAGGAUUCAAGCGUUAUCCGGAUUUAUUGGGUUUAAAGGGUGCGUAGGCGGUCGGAUAAGUUAGAGGUGAAAUCCCGAGGCUCAACUUCGGAAUUGCCUGUGAUACUGUUCGGCUAGAGAGUAGUUGAGGUAGGCGGAAUGUAUGGUGUAGCGGUGAAAUGCUUAGAGAUCAUACAGAACACCGAUUGCGAAGGCAGCUUACCAAGCUACUUCUGACGUUGAGGCACGAAAGCGUGGGUAGCAAACAGGAUUAGAUACCCUUGUAGUC
This 460-nucleotide ribosomal RNA is filed under the name uncultured bacterium. RNAcentral describes it as "partial 16S ribosomal RNA". It matches the Rfam family "Bacterial small subunit ribosomal RNA", at positions 338 to 795 of the family's 1533-position model. The record is from RNAcentral.